AACGAACGCUGGCGGCAUGCCUAACACAUGCAAGUCGAACGAUGCCUUCGGGCAUAGUGGCGCACGGGUGCGUAACGCGUGGGAAUCUGCCUUUCGGUUCGGAAUAACUCAGGGAAACUUGAGCUAAUACCGGAUAACGUCGCAAGACCAAAGAUUUAUCACCGAAAGAUGAGCCCGCGUAGGAUUAGCUAGUUGGUGAGGUAAAGGCUCACCAAGGCGACGAUCCUUAGCUGGUCUGAGAGGAUGAUCAGCCACACUGGGACUGAGACACGGCCCAGACCCCGACGGGAGGCAGCAGUGGGGAAUAAUGGAAAAUGGGCGAAAGGCUGAUCCAGCAAUGCCGGGUGAGUGAUUAAGGCCUUAGGGUUGUAAAGCUCUUUUAACCGGGAAGAUAAUGACGGUACCGGGAGAAUAAGGCCCGGCUAACUCCGUG
This 433-nucleotide ribosomal RNA is filed under the name uncultured bacterium. Its description in RNAcentral is "partial 16S ribosomal RNA". It matches the Rfam family "Bacterial small subunit ribosomal RNA", at positions 29 to 507 of the family's 1533-position model. The record is from RNAcentral.